This 427-nucleotide long non-coding RNA is filed under the name Nicotiana benthamiana. RNAcentral's name for it is "long non-coding RNA (NBEN_LNC024021)". The record is from RNAcentral. Lineage: Eukaryota; Viridiplantae; Streptophyta; Magnoliopsida; Solanales; Solanaceae.
CCUAACUCUAUGAUACGGUCCCCCUCCUCGUUAAGAAGGUCCCGAAAGUAUGCCUGCCAUCUCUGUUUGAUUUGAGCUUCCCCCAUCAGGACUCUACCAUCCUCGUCCUUGAUACACCUAACUUGAUCUAGAUCGCGUGCCUUCCUUUCCCUUGCUUUAGCUAACCGGAAUAACUUCUUAUCCCCGCCUUUCUCCCCUAGUUCCUCAUACAUGCGGCCGAAUGCCGCGUUUUUAGCUUCCGAGACUGCCAUCUUCGCUUCUUUUCUCGCCUCCUUGUAGAUCGCCCUGUUCGCCCUCCGUUCCUCCUCGCUAGAACUCCCUGCCAACCUAGCGAACGCUGCCUUCUUCACCUCUACUUUUUCCUUGACUACAUCGUUCCACCACCAAUCGCCCUGGUGCCUGCCUGAAUAGCCCUUGACUACCCCGA